UCGGCUCAUCACAUCCUGGGGCUGAAGUAGGUCCCAAGGGUAUGGCUGUUCGCCAUUUAAAGUGGUACGCGAGCUGGGUUUAGAACGUCGUGAGACAGUUCGGUCCCUAUCUGCCGUGGGCGCUGGAGAACUGAGGGGGGCUGCUCCUAGUACGAGAGGACCGGAGUGGACGCAUCACUGGUGUUCGGGUUGUCAUGCCAAUGGCACUGCCCGGUAGCUAAAUGCGGAAGAGAUAAGUGCUGAAAGCAUCUAAGCACGAAACUUGCCCCGAGAUGAGUUCUCCCUGACCCUUUAAGGUCCUGAAGGAACGUUGAAGACGACGACGUUGAUAGGCCGGGUGUGUAAGCGCAGCGAUGCGUUGAGCUAACCGGUACUAAUGAACCGUGAGGCUUAACCUU
RNAcentral lists this ribosomal RNA (398 nucleotides) under Shigella flexneri. RNAcentral's name for it is "partial 23S ribosomal RNA". It matches the Rfam family "Bacterial large subunit ribosomal RNA", at positions 2532 to 2925 of the family's 2925-position model. Lineage: Bacteria; Pseudomonadati; Pseudomonadota; Gammaproteobacteria; Enterobacterales; Enterobacteriaceae. The record is from RNAcentral.